Molecule: non-coding RNA, 2355 nt
Organism: Vicugna pacos (alpaca)
Lineage: Eukaryota; Metazoa; Chordata; Mammalia; Artiodactyla; Camelidae
Source: RefSeq, a predicted model, not a curated record
UUGGGGGCAAUGUCAGGCCUGGCGCGCGCCAUCCCCGCGGCUGCGGAGGCGGACACCCGCGGGGCCUCACCUGGGAAGGGGAUCCUAACCCUCUACUCCCCACCCAACACGCACGCCCUGACCCGUAGGGAAUUCGGGGUGGAAGGGGAUGUCCAUGGAGACAGACCGAUACAAAGACACACAAAUAAUACCACGAGGGGACAAGAUAACACACAGUCCCAUAGGGAAAGGGACACCAAUAAUUCACACAUAAGCAGGGAUAUCCAGAGACACAUUAAUCACAGCCAGAAACAGCCACACACAGAAAUGUACACACAAAGACAGCGACAAACGGACAAGGACAUGGACACACAUAGUCACAAACUAGAGCAAAAUGCUCAGUUACACCCCAUUAUGGAAAUAAGAAAAUACAUUUACACGUGGACAGAGUGCCACAGGCAGAGAUAUACAAAUUCCACCACGCACAAACGGGACCUAGUGCCUAGUUUCACAGGCCAGAAUUUCACAGCCUCCACCCACACCCAGCCUGGGACCCAGAGUCCCACAAUCUGCAGGCCUCACUGCACCCAGGGCGUUUUCCUGUGAAACCCCCUUCAACCACCGCAAAACCCCCAGUGAGAAAGCUGAACCCAUCCAGCCAUUUUGCAGAGGCAGAGCCUGAGGGCAGCAGACAGGAUCCACAGACUGUCUGUCUCAGAGACAGACUCUUGCGGGUCAGACAUGUCUUUAAAGUAUAAUAAUACCUCCCACCUACGAAUGUGCCCUUUAAUCCCCUCCACAAUUCCCCCCUUGGCCCCAAUUUACAGGCUAGGAAGCUGAGGCUCAGAAGAAGUACCUCACAUAGCAGCAGGCACAAAGGUUUUCAUGCUCCCACACAAGCACAUCCACACAGAAACAGUUACACAGUUGCUGGAGUCCCAGUUAACAGAUGAGAAAACCGAGGCCUGGGGAGGGGAACGGACUUAUUUGGACAUGGCAGAAACAAAUGCAUCCCAGAUGGCGUCAGCUGCACACUGGGAGCCAGGCGCAAAUACAGAUCCACAGGGAGUCACAGACUCAGCCAUGCUGGGGAGAGGGGGCAUCAGAUACACCCAGAUACAUGUUACACGCGCUCCUUCUCGGUUGGGGACACUGCGCAGAGGCUCACAGCCUGUGCACCGGCCGCCUCGCCGUGGCUUGCCUGGAGGCAGGAGUGAGGUGUCUUUCUUAGAAGUUCUGGCAAUUCAUCUCAAUUCAACUUUCCAAGUGAUAAAAUCCGCCAGAUAAUCUAUGAGGAAACCGAGACAGAGCCGCCUGGCUGCCAGUGUCUGUCCAUGACUGUUAAUGCUGCUUUAGGGGCAUGACGACAACCAGAGACAGACAGUGGCACUCCCUCCUCCAAAUCGUCAUCCAACUUCCUUCUGCCAGCUGAGGACAGAGCCCUUGGGCCAGCCACUAGAGGCCACUCUCUCUGCGGUUCCCAGGGUCACUAUACUCAUCCUGCCUUUGAGGUCAUGGUUGGCUUUCACUGAGCCCUGCCUCAAAUGCCAUGCUAAGCGCUUUACCAGGAUGAAUUCAGCUCGUCCUCCUAAUAGUCCUCUGAGUUAGGUGCACUGAAAUUUUUUUCAGUUUUAUUGAGGUGUGAUUGACGUAAAACAAACCGCACACAUUUAACGUGUACCAUGUGAUGAGUUUUCAAAAGCUGGAAACCAUCACCAGAGUCAAGGUACUAAACACAUCCGAGCCCCUUUUAUCCCUUCCUCCCACCUCUCCCUACUCCACCCCCAGGUAACCUCUGAUGUGCUUUCUAUUACUAAAGAUGAGGUUGCAUUUUCUAGAGUUUAAAUAAAUGAGACCAGAAAGUGUAUACUCUUCUUUUUUGGUCUGACUUCUUUCCCUCAGCAAAAUUAUGAAGAUUCGUUUAUGUUUAAAAAAAUAUUUUUGGCUUUUUUUUUGGAGGGGUGGUAAUUAGUUUUAUUUAAUUUUUUAACUAGGUUCGUUUAUUAUUUUUUUAAUGGAGGUACUGGGGGUUGAACCCAGCAUCUCGUGCAUGCUAAGCACGGACUCUACCGCUGACUUAUACUCCUGCUACCCCUUCAUUUAUAUUAUUACGUGUAUUUGAGCCCCUUUUUGCUCAAGGGGAAACUGAAGCACAUAGAGGUGUGGCUUGAAGGGGGAGUUUAGGGGAGUGGGUGUCACCACACACGUUUCGGCCCCCUCCCCGCCCCAGGCUGAGGCUGGGUCUGGGUGCGCAGCCCGCAGAGGGGCGCUCUGAUCCCCGAUCCGAAGCGGGCAGGUGCAAACCGCGCAGGGGCCCCGCCUGGCGGUCAGUUCCCAGCGCCCAGAGGGGGCGCGGCCGGGGGCGGGGCCAGGGGC